UUUAGGUUGGUGCAAAAGUAAUUGUGGUUUUUGGCCAUUAAAAGUAUGACAAAAACCUCAAUUACUUUUUCACCAACCUAAUAA
RNAcentral lists this microRNA precursor (84 nucleotides) under Macaca nemestrina (pig-tailed macaque). RNAcentral's name for it is "miRNA (ENSMNEG00000002774.1)". Lineage: Eukaryota; Metazoa; Chordata; Mammalia; Primates; Cercopithecidae. The record is from RNAcentral.